UACGGAGGGUGCAAGCGUUAAUCGGAAUAAUUGGGCGUAAAGAGUGCGUAGGUGGUUUACUAGGUGAGUUGUGAAAGAUUUGGGCUUAACCUGAGGAUGUCAACUCAAACGGGUAAACUAGAGUACAGUAGAGGGUCGUGGAAUUUCCGGUGUAGCGGUGAAAUGCGUAGAGAUCGGAAGGAACACCAGUGGCGAAGGCGACGACCUGGGCUGAAACUGACACUGAGGCACGAAAGCGUGGGGAGCAAACAGG
Molecule: ribosomal RNA, 253 nt
Filed under: uncultured bacterium
Lineage: Bacteria
Description: partial 16S ribosomal RNA
Rfam family: Bacterial small subunit ribosomal RNA
Source: RNAcentral